This 502-nucleotide ribosomal RNA is filed under the name Salmonella enterica subsp. enterica serovar Infantis. Its description in RNAcentral is "partial 23S ribosomal RNA". It matches the Rfam family "Bacterial large subunit ribosomal RNA", at positions 711 to 1211 of the family's 2925-position model. Lineage: Bacteria; Pseudomonadati; Pseudomonadota; Gammaproteobacteria; Enterobacterales; Enterobacteriaceae. The record is from RNAcentral. RNAcentral also lists the same sequence under 11 other names.
AGACCCGAAACCCGGUGAUCUAGCCAUGGGCAGGUUGAAGGUUGGGUAACACUAACUGGAGGACCGAACCGACUAAUGUUGAAAAAUUAGCGGAUGACCUGUGGCUGGGGGUGAAAGGCCAAUCAAACCGGGAGAUAGCUGGUUCUCCCCGAAAGCUAUUUAGGUAGCGCCUCGUGAAUUCAUCUCCGGGGGUAGAGCACUGUUUCGGCUAGGGGGCCAUCCCGGCUUACCAACCCGAUGCAAACUGCGAAUACCGGAGAAUGUUAUCACGGGAGACACACGGCGGGUGCUAACGUCCGUCGUGAAGAGGGAAACAACCCAGACCGCCAGCUAAGGUCCCAAAGUCAUGGUUAAGUGGGAAACGAUGUGGGAAGGCCCAGACAGCCAGGAUGUUGGCUUAGAAGCAGCCAUCAUUUAAAGAAAGCGUAAUAGCUCACUGGUCGAGUCGGCCUGCGCGGAAGAUGUAACGGGGCUAAACCAUGCACCGAAGCUGCGGCAGCGA